RNAcentral lists this ribosomal RNA (879 nucleotides) under Russula azurea. RNAcentral describes it as "eukaryotic LSU rRNA". It matches the Rfam family "Eukaryotic large subunit ribosomal RNA", at positions 74 to 931 of the family's 3401-position model. The record is from RNAcentral. Lineage: Eukaryota; Fungi; Basidiomycota; Agaricomycetes; Russulales; Russulaceae.
AUUCCCCUAGUAACUGCGAGUGAAGCGGGAAAAGCUCAAAUUUAAAAUCUGGUGGUCUUUGGCCAUCCGAGUUGUAAUUUAGAGAAGCGUCUUCCGCGCUGGACCGUGCACAAGUCUCCUGGAAUGGAGCGUCAUAGAGGGUGAGAAUCCCGUCUUUGGCACGGACGCACCAGGGCUUUUGUGAUGCGCUCUCGAAGAGUCGAGUUGUUUGGGAAUGCAGCUCAAAAUGGGUGGUGAACUCCAUCUAAAGCUAAAUAUUGGCGAGAGACCGAUAGCGAACAAGUACCGUGAGGGAAAGAUGAAAAGCACUUUGGAAAGAGAGUGAAACAGUACGUGAAAUUGUUGAAAGGGAAACGCUUGAAGUCAGUCGCGUCGACCGAGACUCAGCCUUGCCUCGGCUUGGUGUACUUCUCGGCCGACGGGUCAGCAUCAAUUUUGCCCCUUGGAUAAUGGCGAGGGAAAUGUGACACCUUUACGGUGUGUUAUAGUCUCUCGUCGCAUGCAAGGGUUGGGAUUGAGGAACUCAGCACGCGCCUUUGGGCGUCGGGGCUUUGCCCACGAUACGUGCUUAGGAUGUUGGCGUAAUGGCUUUAAACGACCCGUCUUGAAACACGGACCAAGGAGUCUAACAUGCCCGCGAGUGUUCGGGUGGAAAACCCGUGCGCGCAAUGAAAGUGAAAGUUGGGACCUCCGUCGUGGAGGGCACCGACGCCCGGACCAGACCUUCUGUGACGGCUCUGCGGUAGAGCGUGUAUGUUAGGACCCGAAAGAUGGUGAACUAUGCCUGAAUAGGGUGAAGCCAGAGGAAACUCUGGUGGAGGCUCGUAGCGAUUCUGACGUGCAAAUCGAUCGUCAAAUUUGGGUAUAGGGGCGAAAGAC